UUAUUUUUUUCUUCAGAUUAACGGAUUGGCGUCGACUGGAUCUUACGUUCAGAGCGGACAGAAAGACAAGGCUGCCUCCCAGUCUCUCUUCACUGCCAGUUACGUCUACUAGACCAGUGCGCUUGUAGCCCGUCGGACUACGAUUCUGCGUUGUGUUCUGGUGUAUGGAUAAUGAACAGGACUCUGGACACUGGCUGCCGGUUUCUGGUCUUUUAUUCUGAAUUAGAUGAAAUAAAUGCAGUGAAUACAAUGGAAUGAAUGGUCAUGAGCUUCUCUAUGUUGCACGCAGUGCACACCUGACAUGAGGAAAAGUAAAGUGAGCGAGUGCUUACACGUGGGAAGCUACAGACACCCUGCUAGCAUGUACUGAAACUAGCUAGCCUAACAUUGCAACACUCGCUAAAAAAAACUCUUAACAAAUUACUAUUUCAUCACAAUCAAUUCGUUAGCAACACAACAAUGCUGGAAUACAUUCUAACAUAUUUACAUAAAGUUUCACUUGUUCUAAACUUUUAUAUUAUAUGUACAUUGGCGCAUACGCAAACACAUACCUCUCCUCAGUAGAGCCAAAGACAGCCUGAGGAGUAAAAACCGCGCGCUGCUGACUGGAUUGUCCCGCAGGCCAGAGCAAUACACCACAGAGCAAUCGAUACUCUCCACGGAUAUGUAAAAUAAAAACAAACGGAAGGAUUUGGGUGAAAUACAUACAAAUUAAUAUUAAUACUCGUUACACUGGCAGUAUCCCAGAAAAUACCACAGUGUUGGUCUUGUCUUUUAAUGUCCUUCUUAGCUCUCUGAAUUUGUUUUGCAGGGAUAUUGGCCUGUCUCUUCCAAUGUUGUUUGUACCGAUGUGGAUGACUACUACCGGGUCAUCUCCUGUUCGUUCUAGGAGCCUGUCCAUGUUCUCAGUGAUGUGCUUGACUGAGGCUCCUGGAAGGCAGCACACUGCUGUAGUAAGGGAGUCCAAACUGCGAACUGAACUUGCUGUGUUUCUCAAUAUGGAGUCCCCAACAAUCAUGACCUCCCUUCUUUUUGCUGCCUGGUCAGCACUGUUUAUAGGGUCCUGGGUGUUGUUUCUUUCAUUCUCUUGAUGUUGGUUUUGAUCAUCUAAAUGUUGAAGUGGCUCAGAUUUGUUGGAUGUCUGGAUUUCUGGUGGUUGUGUUUGAUGAAGUUUCUUUUUUUCCCUCCUUCUGCCUAUCUGAACCCAGCUGUUUUGACUCUCUUCCAUCUCCCUGGUGGCUUUCAGUCUGCUAGGGGUGCAGACAUCCAUGAAUUGUGGGUGUGUCAGCUCCUGAAGCUCCUGUUGCUGUCUCAUUUCCACCAGCUCCAUUUCUAACAGGCUUACUCGUUGAAGCAAAUCCUGGAUCGUGCGGCACUUCACACACACUUGGUUGAGCUCUGUUGGGUUUUCUCGGAUUUCCCACAUCAUGCAGUUGUCACAGAUUACUGGCUUGAAGACCAUGUUUGUUUGUUUUUUUAAAGUUUAGUUUAACUUCUGCAGCUGUCAACCUGCUUUCAAACUGCUUCUAACUGUGAAGUACUCGUCCACUCAUACUUCUCCCACGCUGUCGCUCCACAUGCUGUCACUGUGAAAACUGGCUGCCUUUUGUUUGUUUAGAACUGAGUUGCGAUGCUGGCUCCGCCCCUCCACCCGUGUCUCAGAACGGCGGCAAAUUUGAAUCAGCUGCUCCAAGUUUCAGCUCGUUAUCAGAAAAAGACACACAGCUGUUAGACUUUAAGCUGCAGUGUUUUCUGAUUAAAGCAAUUCAAGAUGUAAUUUAAAGGCAUGUUGCUUUUCUUUGUGGUGUGCUGGCUGACUUUGUGACCAGGCACUGUUCUGCCUAGCAACAGGAAGCCCCGCCUGGUUAGCAUCUCAGCCAAUGGCGAUCCAGGCAGGACUAUAUUAAGGCAGGGAUUUGAGAGCAAGGAGACAGGGAGACAGGGAGACAGGGAGACAGGGAGACAGGGAGACAGGGAGACAGGGAGACAGGAGUGUGUGCAGGCAGAAGCUCUCAGCCUUGGAAGAAUCAUUUGGAAUUUUGACUGUUUGCUGAACUGCUUUUCUUUUUUGGUGGAACACUGCAGAGGGAACUGGUCAGACUUUCAACCAUUGGAUCCAACGGGUCCGACAGAGACAACGGUGGACGGGAGGUUGUGACGAGUGCCAGGGAGCGUGGAAAGAGAGAAACGUGAAGUGAAAGACUGGCUGAAGGGAAGUGACCAGAACUUCAGAGGACGGGGUGUAGUUUACUUACCUGUGGUACAGUCCCUGAUGGCCCCUUUUUCUUUACCAUGCUUUCUGAUCGCAGGUUCUUCAGGGUGGUGGUCAAUCAGCUGGGAGAGGCCCAGCAGAGAGUGGCUGUCCUAUCAGCGACGAGGAGUCCGAUCACGGACUGAGCGAGUCGGAGGGGGAGACCCCGGGAGCAUGGGAUUUACCCCCGGACCAUUUACUUUUUUUGGUUUGUCUUGUCUCUGUGUUACGACUGAUUGUUUUGUUUUAUGUGGACCUUGUUUUUAUUUUCUCAGAGUGACCAACAGGAGGGGAUUGCCUCGAGUGUGCUGUGGAUUUUUUGCUUUUUGUUUUUUUGGCAUUCCCUGGUGUGGUCUUUUUAAACUUUAGUUUUAGUAUUUUUUUUGUAUCGUGUGUUUUUACUACCCUGUCAAGAAUAAAAAAAUGGUUUUACCCGA
This is a long non-coding RNA of Acipenser ruthenus (sterlet), 2688 nucleotides long. RefSeq lists it as uncharacterized. The record is from RefSeq and is a predicted model, not a curated record. The transcript has 2 exons. NCBI's taxonomy places the organism in Eukaryota, Metazoa, Chordata, Actinopteri, Acipenseriformes, Acipenseridae.